RNAcentral lists this ribosomal RNA (255 nucleotides) under uncultured bacterium. RNAcentral's name for it is "partial 16S ribosomal RNA". It matches the Rfam family "Bacterial small subunit ribosomal RNA", at positions 793 to 1055 of the family's 1533-position model. The record is from RNAcentral.
GUCCACGCCGUAAACGAUGGAUACUAGCUGUUGGGGGCAACUUCAGUGGCUAAGCGAAAGUGAUAAGUAUCCCACCUGGGGAGUACGAACGCAAGUUUGAAACUCAAAGGAAUUGACGGGGCCCGCACAAGCGGUGGAGCAUGUGGUUUAAUUCGAUGAUACGCGAGGAACCUUACCAAGGCUUAAAUGUAGAUUGACCGAUUUGGAAACAGAUUUUUCGCAAAGACAAUUUACAAGGUGCUGCAUGGUUGUCGU